Molecule: long non-coding RNA, 745 nt
Filed under: Coffea arabica (coffee)
Lineage: Eukaryota; Viridiplantae; Streptophyta; Magnoliopsida; Gentianales; Rubiaceae
Description: long non-coding RNA (CARA_LNC006032)
Source: RNAcentral
CCUCGGGGUCAGCCUGAUUGUACUCAUCAAAGCGGUUGCUUCUCCGACUUCAUUUCUUCCUAAUUCAUGUGUCAGUGGUUACUUUUUUUCGGUGCCUUUUUCUCCUUCUUUCUUGCCAUUUGCCAUUCAUGUGGUUGCCCGAUUGUCAUACACUUUUGUAUUCCCAUCUACUCUCUCUAUCUCGGUCUCCCUCGACCUUCAAACAAGACUCUUCCUCUCUUGCUCUCCCUAUCUCAAACGAUGACCAGAUCUAUCAUUUUAUCUACACGUUUUUCUUUCUUCUUUUCUUUUCUUUGUUAAUCAACAAAAAGAAGAAAACAAAGAAGCCAUUUUGAUGUUUUUUUGUUUAGUUUUUGUUUCUUUCUUUGUUUUCUUGAACUUGCAGUUACUCACAAUCACAUUUUGCUUCUCAUAGAUUGAGGACAAUGGAUUGAAAGUCCACAAGAAGAAGAAAAAGAAUCAACUUUCUAGGUUGUGCUAUUUUCUUUAAUUUAUUUUUCAGUCUUUUUCCCAAUUUUACUCUAGAUUGGACCUUCAAAUUUUUGUAAGAAAAGUUUUUGAUUUCUGAUAUUUAGUACUUUAGUUUUGCUGCUGUUAACGAUCUCAUUUCUGGUAUAUAUUGGAUAGAUAGGGAUCUCAUUUUUCUUCUAAUAGAUUGAGGGGAAAAUGGAAGAAAAACCGAUGGGAAGAAGAAAAAAAGAUUUAACUUUUCAAGGUUUGAAUUUUUCUGUAGUUUAUUUUCCAA